This 497-nucleotide ribosomal RNA is filed under the name uncultured bacterium. Its description in RNAcentral is "partial 16S ribosomal RNA". It matches the Rfam family "Bacterial small subunit ribosomal RNA", at positions 28 to 507 of the family's 1533-position model. The record is from RNAcentral.
GAUGAACGCUGGCGGCGUGCCUAAUACAUGCAAGUCGAGCGAACAGACGAGGAGCUUGCUCCUCUGACGUUAGCGGCGGACGGGUGAGUAACACGUGGAUAACCUACCUAUAAGACUGGGAUAACUUCGGGAAACCGGAGCUAAUACCGGAUAAUAUAUUGAACCGCAUGGUUCAAUAGUGAAAGACGGUUUUGCUGUCACUUAUAGAUGGAUCCGCGCCGCAUUAGCUAGUUGGUAAGGUAACGGCUUACCAAGGCGACGAUGCGUAGCCGACCUGAGAGGGUGAUAGGCCACACUGGAACUGAGACACGGUCCAGACGCCUACGGGAGGCAGCAGUAGGGAAUCUGCCGCAAUGGGCGAAAGCCUGACGGAGCAACGCCGCGUGAGUGAUGAAGGUCUUCGGAUCGUAAAACUCUGUUAUUAGGGAAGAACAAAUGUGUAAGUAACUAUGCACGUCUUGACGGUACCUAAUCAGAAAGCCACGGCUAACUACGUG